AAAAUGUUUGAUUUUAGCUUAAAUUUUUAUAUUACUGUUAAAAUUGUAUGAAAGUUAAAGUGUAAUUUAUAUGGUCUAAUUAUAUAUUAAACCAGGGUUAUAAAAGGAAAGUAAAUUAUGAAAUUUAUAGUCUCAGCAUAAAACAUUAUUAAUUAAUAUAUAAAAGUAUGAAAUAGUAAUAGUAUAAAAAUCUGAUAAAUAUUUGUGCCAGCAUUCGCGGUUAUACUUUAAGAUUAAGUAAAAAGUUUAAGGUUACAGUUAAAUGAUCAAUAAAUUUAAAUUAGUUAUAAAUAAUAAAAGGUAAAAUUAGAAUAUUAUUUUGUAAAAAGAAAAAUUUUUAUUGAAGCUGAAAAAGUUUAGUAAUAAACUAGGAUUAGAUACCCUAUUAUUCUGAAAUUAAUAUACAAAGACUAAAUUAGUAAAAGAUAAAUACUUAAAACUUAAAAAAUUUGGCGGCAAUUUAAUCUUUCCAGAGGAACCUGUUUUAUAAUCGAUAAACCACGAAACAUCUUACUUGCUCUAGUAUAAUAUCAGUUUGUAUACCAUCAUUAUCAGAUAAUUUUAAAAGAAAAAAUUAUUAAGUUUGAUUAUUUAAUAAAAUUAGAUCAUGGUGCAGUUUAUGAGUAAGGUAAAAUGGGUUACAAUAAAUUACUUUAUAGCGGAAUAAUAAAAUAAUUUUGUUAUGAAGAAGGAUUUGGUUGUAUUUUUAGUUUAAUAAGCUAGUAAGAUAUAAGUUCUAAAUUGUGUACAUAUCGCCCGUCGCUUUCAUCUAUAAAUGAAAUAAGUCGUAACAUAGUAGAUGUACUGGAAAGUGUAUCUGGUAAUAU
This 827-nucleotide non-coding RNA is filed under the name Gaetice depressus. The record is from RNAcentral. Lineage: Eukaryota; Metazoa; Arthropoda; Malacostraca; Decapoda; Varunidae.